AUUUUUCUUAAUCCUCCAGUUGUCUUCUUACCCCUUUUCCUCUUCUAGACUAAAAUUCCAUGGAACCUCAGUCAUGGACAGAUUUUGUUUGCCCCAUUUUUGUGCAAGUCUCUCAGACACUUAUCUCUCUCUCCUCUUCAACGGGCAAGUCAAUAUAUGAAGCCAAAAGACUUCUGAAAUUUUGAUUCUCUAAGUCUGAAGGAUUGAUUUCUCAGAUAUUUGUUUUGAUUUUCAAAUGGCUCCUUACAGACCCUCAAAUUCAAAUUUCAAAUGCUAGGGGGGUAAAAAUCCCACCAAAAGAACCCUAGAAUCUACCUAUAAAUACCAAGCCAUUGCAGCCAUUAGGGACAAGCUCGGGGCCUCACAUUUACCCCCACAAAAGGCUGGAGCCACCCCUUUAUCCCCUCUAAGUUAAAGCUUCAGCCCCCUUCUUUAACCUGAAGCUCUGGGCCGCCCACUUUCACCCGCAAAGUUGGAAGCUUCAGCUCCCUCUAACCUUUGUUUAGCUGUCAUCCCUUCCUCUCAAAAUUUCCUUCUUUUUAAUAUCUAAGUUCUGUUGGUUUUAACCAAAAUAGAAACAUUUUUUAUUUCUUUGUCCUAGCGAUUAACGUUGGUUCGAGGUAGAGAGUCUAAGGUCAGAGUUUGAUAGUGCACCUUAGAUCCCCGCCUCAAUUCGCUGCCCUGCAAGAGGUUUGUAUCUUCUUCUCCUUUGCUAUAGUUUGGUUCUGAUUAGAGCAUGUUUGAUACUUGGUGCUUGCUUGUUUCAAGAGUUGUUAGUUUCUGUUAAGUUUCCACGUUUUAAUACUAUAUAGAUGGGCGUUCUACUUUUACUUCUGUUUAUCCUUAGUUUGAUGGAAUAAUCUUGUGGUUAAAAGUUGAUAGGAAUAAUUUUUUAAGAGAUUCUUAUUGAUGGGAACAUGCCUGACCAAUAUUUGAUGAAAUGCUCAUAUGAAAAUACCUAUUUCCUUUUGCAUACUUCUCUGUUAGAUGCCAUGAUUUUAAGAAGGAUUUUAUCAUGAGCUAGUCGCCCUGCAAAAGGUUUAUUUGCCAUUGUGAUUUAAGACCUUUUUUCCUAGACAUCGUGCUUAAAAUUUCAAACAAUUUGUUUAAGAAUAGGUUUAUUUAAAUGCACACUGUUAAGUGAAGACUUGAUUUACUUUAGUAUUAGCUAUCCAAAAUUCUUUCUUUAGGAAACAUAGUUAUAGAAUUUUUGUGCCUAUUUCUUUGUGCUGGUUAGUGUUUGGAUUUAAAAGUAUCGAUGACUUUGUUAAGAUAAAAUUUAUGUCUUGAUAAAAUAUGUCCAUGUUACUGUGUGAUUAUCACUGGAAGUUUAUAUUUCAGUUAUUUGAGAGUUUUUGCUACUAGUCUAAAUAGAUGGAAAUAUUUAUCUUUCAUAUAGUUGUGUGUUUGUCUGAUGACAAGAAGUAUGGCUGGAAUUUCAUAAAAUAAUUUAACACUAGGACGCCUUUACAUAUUUUAAUCUUGAUAUAUUGUUAAUAAUCAAGUUCCACUCUCUAAUCCUUCUUAUCCUUACAUAUGUUAAUUGAACUCUUACGUUAUUUUGCUAAUUGUUUAUUUCUCUCUUCCUUUACAUGUACAUUUUGGAGCAUAAUGGAGUCUUAAUGCUAGACUCCCAUACCCGCAUAUGGUGUCUUAAUUCGGAACUCGCAAAGAUGGAGUCUCAUCACCACCAGAUAGAGUCAAUACACGACAUAUCAUCCUUAGAAUGUACUGGAUAGCAGAAAAUCAAGCGAAAUGUUUGGGGGCGCCUAUGGCAUCCUUCUUUUUGUUUUUAUCACUCAUUUUAUCUUAAUUUUUGUAAUUGCCGAUUUACGUCUUUUGUGUUUUCUUAAUUUUUGAAAUUUUAUGUUGGAGGCUAUUAUUAACAUAGAAGAAAUAGCUUAGUCUUAUUUAUUUAGUAUUUUCACCCUAUUUAUGAGUAUCGUACUUAUUUUAUCACUUGGAAUACCACGCCUAUUUUAAGGACUAUUUAAAAUAGUAGCUUAAUA
RNAcentral lists this long non-coding RNA (2009 nucleotides) under Nicotiana tabacum (common tobacco). RNAcentral describes it as "long non-coding RNA (NTAB_LNC013513)". Lineage: Eukaryota; Viridiplantae; Streptophyta; Magnoliopsida; Solanales; Solanaceae. The record is from RNAcentral.